CCUGCCUUUGGAGCGGUCUCCAGUCCGCUUGGUGUUCACAAGCAUUCAAACUGAACCAGAGUUCACUUCAACCAAACAGAGACAGAGGUUUGUAGACGAACCAGAGUUAGCUUAGCAUUCACACCUCACCAACCGGACUGGACUCUCUAGACAGACGGACUGGAGUUGGAAUAAACCAGACAUGGUGUGAAUGCAGUCAGUGGUCGACCACUUUGUAGCUGAGCUGCUGAUCCAACUUCCACUGUGAGGAAAGGUCAGGACUUUCACCCUGUAGCCACUGCAGCCUUAGUGCUGCAGUUAUGCUGCAGUUUAUGCUGCUCUGAACAUGCAGGCGACUGGAACAGCUGACCUCACUGACCUCAGUGACCUCAGUGACCUCAGUGACCUCAGAUUUCUGAGGAGCAACUCCAACCCUUCAGGAAGACAACAGAAACUCAUCAUCAUCAGAACCUCCUGCUUUGGUUCCAGCUGGUUCUGUUUCAGUGCCUGAGCCUUCAUCAUCAUCAUCAUCAUCAUCAUCAUCAUCAUCAUCAUCAUCAUCAUCAUCAUCAUCACCAUCAUCAUCAUCAUCAUCAUCAUCAUCACCAUCGUCGACAGGAACAAGAUCCGUUUUCCUCUGUGGAAACUUUAUUGUGUCUCAGCAUCAUCAACAUUCUGGUUUGAUAAACUUUAACAUCUCAUUUGUUGCUCUAAUUGAUCUGAAUUCAUCUAGAAAUGAAAAGCUGCAGGCUGGGAGUAUCGGACCUGAGGACAUGGAGACACUUCCUGGUUCUGCAUUCAGAACCGAUGAAACAGAACCGCAGAACAGAACCUGUUUUUGGUUCUUCUGUUUCGUUUAACAUGAAUAAAAAACGACAUCAACAGUUUCAGUGAACUUUUCUCUUUUUCUGAAGGAUUUAGAAUAAGAAACUUUCCAGAACCAACAAUCAGAGGCAGAAUAAUCAUGUGUGUCAGUUUCUACAGCGGGUGGGAGGAGGUUCUAGUCUGAUGAAACAACUGGAGGUCCAAACUCAGGAGUCAGACAGCAGAGCUGUGGAAAACGUCCCUGAUCUCCCACUCAGGCUCCAGAACCGCCACACUGGUUUUACUAUGCUGCUGUGGGGAUUUGUUGGACCAAUCUGAACACAUUGCAUCAUAACACCAGGAAGCUCUGAGCUCCUAUGUGACACAAAUAUAACCAGAUUCAUGGAGAGAAACCUGAACAACUGAGCAUCAAACAUGCUGAAGAUCAACCAGGUUUUAUUGUGUUAUGUGGAUCACAGCACAGCUGAACCGUUUAAAGACAGGAAACACUGGACACACAGGGCUGAAUGUUUGCAGAAAGGAAAACAUCUGGUUGGUUCAGCUCUGACUUCUGGACUGAAGGUGGAAAACUGACGGACUGCAGAGGGUUUGAGCUUUAUGAUAAACACAUUCAUUAAUUAUCUGCUGGAAAAACAAACCAUAUCAGUCAGAUAUUUUAAUGUAUUUAAAAGAAAAUAGCAAAUCAUAAAGACUCAGACGCAAUAAAUAUUUUCAAACAGUUGAGAGUAAAUCCCAGAAAUAAAACAUUUCAGAUGGUUGUGAAACUUUAUCUGCUCACAAAUUCAAGAGAACAAAGAACAAAACGAAGAUUUAAAGUUUCUGCCGGUUAAAUUGUGACAGUAAAGAACAAGAACUGAUGGAGGUUUGAAUGUUUCAGGAGGAGAAGCUGAGCUUCACAGGUUUAAAGAACAACUCGUUCACAUGCUUUGUGCAGCCUUUUUUAAAAUAAAGUCAUAACUUAUCUUUAAAUAUUCAGAGAAAAUUAAAUCUCCAGCAACUGGAAACAGUAGAAGCGUUCAGUUCAUUUAUCAGGUCAUGAAUCAAGAAAUCUGCUUCAGUUUCUGCACAGAGGAGUUGAGUCGAUUAUCAUCAUUUACUUUCAUAACGUGUGUAAAACUCUGGAAGGAAACAUCCAGUUUAAAGCUAACAUGUCCAAAUCCUCUUAGUUAAAUCACUGCAGCUGAAUGAUGAAAAUAAAGGAUUUAA
Non-coding RNA from Poecilia reticulata (guppy), 2010 nucleotides. Lineage: Eukaryota; Metazoa; Chordata; Actinopteri; Cyprinodontiformes; Poeciliidae. The record is from RefSeq and is a predicted model, not a curated record.